This 5690-nucleotide long non-coding RNA is filed under the name Lactuca sativa (garden lettuce). Its description in RNAcentral is "long non-coding RNA (LSAT_LNC003917)". Lineage: Eukaryota; Viridiplantae; Streptophyta; Magnoliopsida; Asterales; Asteraceae. The record is from RNAcentral.
UGAAAUUCUUCUUAUCUGUUAGCCAUAUGCUGUCUCCUUUGCGUGACUACCAAUCCGACCUGGAACACAGCAUAUGCAACCUUCUACUUCUCAACCCCUCUGAAGUAAUAAGUAAUAGAAUUCUGAAUCUAUCCUCUCUCUGAAUGGUUGUCUGCUCACCCGGUGUAAGGAGUACUCUGGAAGUUCUUGAUGGCUGGGGCAUAUCAGGAAGCGGGAAACACGUUCUAGUACACUUAAAAUUGAACACAUACAGAUUGUCUGUAGAUCUCGCUGCUCAAUUUAGGUGGACAACAAUAUCUUUGGUCGUCGUCAGCUGAAUGGUCCUUAAGGAAUGUUAUCUAGGAACUUAGGAUCACAUUGUCUUGUCACUUAUAACAUGUCCUAAUUUUUUUUACAAUCUCUCGUAUUUAAGUGGACCACAAUACCGACGAUUGACCAUAUCUAUUCAUGAAGGGGGAGGUACUCAUAAACGGAUAAAGGCUGUCUAAAAACUUUGAUCCCAAAUCACUCUUAAAGUUAGCUAUUAUUUUUUUUUUUUUUAAGUUUGUUCAUAGUGUUCUUCUAAUUUAAAUAUUAGGGGAGAAUUAAAAUUAAAAAAAAUCAAUCAAACAAAAAUAAAAAAAAAUUCAAAAUCAAAAAUAGUGUUAUUUCUGUUUUACUUUUUGUUCUAAGUUUUCUUUUAGUUUAGUUUUGUUUUGAAAAGUGAUUUCAGGUAUAGAUAAGACUCAUGGAGUUUGUGUCGAAGAUUUAUGAGCCAAGGGUUCGUCUGUGAGCAUCGAAGAAUUCUCAUUCGAAGGAGCAAGAAAUGAAGAUUAUUCUUUCAACAUUCAAUCUGUCAACUCCAGAAGCAAGGUGAAGCAGAAAUUGAAGAUUAUGUGACAGAUUGCAUUGAAGCCUCCUCAAUCAGUCUACUGCUAUCUAUGAACCUGCUGAAUUGAUACAAAAGAUUUGUUCUCUCUGAUGUUCUCUCUGAAGAUUCUCAAGCUGAAAGCUCUAUCUUUCAAGAAUCAGUACGUCAAGCCUCCUCACCCAAUGGGCGUUCAAUGUCAAUUUAUGAAGAAAAGUCCAACUGCUCAAGAUGAAGUCAUUUAUUGAAGAUUCAUCAAGUUCAUCUUGAAGCUGUGAAGUCAUCGAAGAUUAAUGCUGAAGCCAAGCUCCCAUUGAAGAUUGACAAGAAAAGCCAGCUACUUUUUUGGGGGAGCUUAUUGCGUUAAUUAAGAAAAGAAAGCUAUAAACCAAGGGGGAGAUUGUUGGGUCAAAAUAUGGUUUAUACUUUGCUUUUCUGGGCAAUUAUAUUUUUAUGUAAUAUUUUAUUAGCUUACAGUCUAGUUUACGGCCAGGUGGGGUUUACGGUUGAGUUUACGACCGUAAACAGGUUUACGGCCGUAAACCCAUUUACGGCCCAUGUCCACCAAGCCUAUGUUCCCCUUGUAUAAAUGUAGGUGUUAGGGUGUGAGGAACAGAUUGAUGAAAAGUAGAGAGUUUACGGCCUAUAGAGAGAAAAACGAGUGUGUGUGAAUCUUGUAUUUGGAUCUACAUUCUAAUCAUCAAAUAAUACAAGAUUCAUCAUCUUCUUCUUCUCCUUCUCUUCUAUUGAUCUGACAUCAUCCGUUUGAUCGGGAUUCCGCACCAUCAAACGGAUCUGAUUGAUACACAGACAAAUUAGGGAUUUACUAUUUGUAUCAGAGUUUGGUUGUAUCAGUCAAUUUUGUUAGAUUUGGAGCAUUAUUUGAUCUUAUUUUCGAAAGAUUUUUGCGUUUUUGGAUUGAUCUCUGAAAAAUAAGGGGGGUUUGUUCUUCGUGUUUUUCAUAAAAAAAGAUUUUUGAUCGAGUUUUAGUGCUUCAAAGUCGAAAAAUCGGUGUUUUUGGUCGAAACCUGCGAGGGUGUGGCGGAGUUUGCGGUCGACGGCUAGGGUUUCGGAGUCCACGGCCCGAGGUUCACGGUCCGGAGUUUGCGGCCUGAGGUUUGCGGCUCGGAGUUUGCGGCCUCGCACCUUGCACAAGGUCCUCGUAGCAGCUAGUUCGUCGUCCUCGCUUCGUAGCUGCUUCGUCGCCUCACUUCGCAUAUAUGAAAAAUAGGAAACUAGUUUGGGGGUCUGCCGAGAAUCGAACUCGAGACCUCUGAUUCAUCGACCAGCGCCUUAACCAACUCCUCUAGCAUCACCUUUUUUCCUUUCCUCCGCAUUUUUUAUUCAAAAACACUCAUUUUCGAUUCCAAGUUUCGCAAAAUUGUCAUUUUUAGCCCAAAAAUUAAAUUUCUUUUAUUUUUAAAUUCCUUUUUCAUCUAUAAUAAUAAUAAUAAUAAUAAUAAUAAUAAUAAUAAUAAUACUAAAAAAAAUUGUUUUUAAUUUUUGACUUUUAUUUUUGACUUUUGUCUUUAAAACUUGACUUUGACUUUAAUCGUUGACUUUCUCGUUUGACUUUUAAAAUUUUAAAUUUAGCUUUUCGGUUUGACUUUUGAGUUUGAAUUUCAAGUUUGACUUUUGAGUUUGAGUUUUUAAGUUUGACUUUUAAGGUUGACUUUCGAGGUUUGUAGUCAAAGGGUUUGAUUUUUAAGUUUGAUUUUGGCUUCUAGUUGUGCUUUUUAAUGGCUUUUAAGGUCUACGAGAGAGUUGAAAACAUGAAAGAGAGUCGUGAAGAUAUGUUAGGACAAAAUUUCUACAUUUUCGAUUAUAUCCAUGGAGAAACCCUCGAAAAUCAAUUGCAGCGAUUUACUACACUUACUACUGAGAUGAAUAUAGUUGGGAUCUUUUUGUCUAAGUUUGAGAUAAACAAAAAGCUACUAAAUUCACUUCUAAAAUCGUGGGAUAUGAACGUGGCUAUCAUCAAGAAGACAAAAGAUCUCAAUCAUCUUAGUCUUGUUGAUGUAAUUGAAGAACUUGAUGCUUUGAAGUAUGGAAAUACAAUGAUUUCUGUAAACCUUUUGGUCAAUGAAGUUUCAUGUUCUCAAUCAUGUGAAGUUUCAUGUAUGCUAUCUAGUGAAGAUACGAUUAAAUUUCUUCGGGAACAAAUUGAUUUAUUAAAAAGAGAAGUUGAGGACCAGAGAUAUGAAGGAUAUCAACUCAGGAAAGGACAGAAACCCCUGAAGGCUGAAUUAGAAGCAAAAACCAAGGAAUUUAGGGAACUUCAGGAAGAGUAUAGUAACAAGUGUGAACAUUAUGACUAUAUUAAGAGACAACUUGCUGCUUUAAAUAAAGAACUUGACACUUUGAAAAUUAAGUGUGGAAAAACAGACGUUAGUUUUAAAAAUUAUACUGUGUCAAGUGAGACAGUCGAGUCAUUAUUUGAAACCCAAUUAAAAUUCAAAGAUAAUAAAAACAAGGGUCUAGGGUAUGAUAGUGUUCCUCCACCUUUCAAUCAUAACUACACAUCCAUCCCUAUGACAGGAAGAAAUUGACAGGGAGGCACAUCUUCAAUAUGGCAAACCAGCUGGAUUUGUGUCAGGAGGUAUUCAUGUUGAAUAUACUAAUGUUUCGACUUCAUGUGCAUGUAAAGUAGCAGAAGAUGAGAAAAGGAGAGCACUACCGAACAAACCAAUGACUCUUUGAACUCAGAAUCUGUUGCUUCGAAUUCUGUUACUCCUAACAAACCUGCCGUUGAGAAAUACAGGCCUCCAAUUCCAGCGCAACAGAGUGCUUAUUGCAAGUGUGCAUGUGGGAACAACAAGAAACGAGGCAAGGAUACGCCACCAGGGGCAGGAAGAAACAACUUCCAAGUGAAGAAAAAGACAUGUUUUCACUGUGGAACACCUGGACACAUUGCCAUAAAUUGUCCUAAUCGCGCAUACGUUCCUUACUAUGCACAAGGCUGGCAGAACGAGCCAAGGGGGAUAUUUCUCAAAAGAAACCCCUCAAGGUCACGUUCAGACAAUGCCGAAUGGAAUGCCAUGAAGGACAAGAAUUGAACUCCCAAGGCCAAGCAUCGAACUCCCAAGGCCAAGCAUCCAACUCCCAAGAACAAGAAGGGAAUGCUGGCCCAGAAGUCUAGUUCAAGAGAUGCUCCUGUGAAGCCAAGAUCGUUUAUGUUAAAGUCAUCUAGGCAGACGACUUUAAGUUCCAAAUCAAGUGCCGAGGCACCCAUCGGAUCGAACAAGAAUUGGGUUAAACCCAACUACAAAUGGGUUCCGAAGGCUCAAUCUCCCAAAUCUUCUAACGAUUCUAAUAUUUCUAUAUCUUCUGUUUGUGAUAAACAGGACAUGUCAUGGGAGAAAGUACCUUGCAUUGAUGAAAAAGGUCGACCCAGUUUCAAAAUGGACUGGGUUCCAAAGACCAACUGAUCCCGCUCUGUGCUGGAGCAGUUAUGGAGGCAUAUCAUCAGACUUCAGUUUGUUGGUAGUGGCUACUCCUGGCAUAUGAUUGGGGACAUCACUCAACUGUACAACAUUCAGACCUUUGUUGAGAGUAUGUGUCUUUUUGCAGGAAAGGAAGAAAGGAAGAGAUCACAAAUGGGGUUAGUGCUUAAUGAUAUGAAGAAUUUUUGGAUCUGUUCUGAGAUUAUGCUUGCUGUUCUUAGACCUUCUGAAUGCAGAUUCAAUCGGUGAAUUACGGUUUGCGUCUUCUUCUCUAUACUCCUGAGUUUUUCUUAAGUUGAUUCGCUUUAAAGACUAAUUUUUGUUUUAGGGUAAUUUAACUUUGCGCAUGUACUUUCGUUUCUCUUCUAUGCACAAAUUUAGGGGAGAAAUAAAAACAAAACAAAAAUUAGAAAAUUUUAAUUUUAAAAAAAAAAUCCAAAAGNAAAUAUGGUGUUAAUGGAUUGUGCUUGCAGGAGAUGUUUUGGGAAGUGAUAUAAUCAUGUGAUAAUAGGCAAUCUGAAUCAAUGUAAGGGACUGAAUCUGAAUUGUCUAGGCUCUGUGUUCGAUGCGCUGGUAGGCACGAAAGAUUUUAAAUGGACUUGACUAGGGAGAGUUAAACUUAAUGAAUUAAAGGACUUGAAAAACUUUGACAUAGUUAGAUCCGUUUAGCCUGACAUCAUGACGCUCGGAUAGGUUGAGUAGGGAGAUAUACAUGGGAAUCUACCGGUCACAUUAAAUAACCCGUAUCUAGAACUGUGGAUUCACUUUUCCUCGAUGUGCGGAUUCUGUCAUUAAUUCCGGUUGGAUGGGGCAACCGGUAAAUUCCGAUAAAUUAGGUCUGUAGAAAAUUGUUUUCUUUCUUUCUGUCUAUUAGUCAUAUGUUGCCUCCUCUGUGUGAUCGGGAGAUCCGACCUGGACUGUAAUAUAUGCAACUCUAUUUCUCUGCAUAUUAUAUCUAUGGAAUUCUUCUUAUCUGUUAGCCAUAUGGUGUCUCCUUUGCGUGGCUACCAAUCCGACCUGGAACACAGCAUAUGCAACCUUCUACUUCUCAAUCCCUCUAAAACAAUAAGUAAUAGCAAUCUGAAUCUAUCCUCUCUCCGAAUGAUUGUCUGCUCACCCGAUGUAAGGAGUACUCUGGAAGUCCUUAAUGGCUAGGGUAUAUCAGGAAGCGGGAAACACAUUCUAGUACACUUAAAAUUGAACACAGACAGAUUGUCUGUAGAUCUCGCUGCUCAAUUUAGGUGGACAACAAUAUCUUUGGUCGUCGUCAGCUGAAUGGUCCUUAAGGAAUAUUAUCUAGGAACUUAGGAUCACAUUGUCUUGUCACUUAUAGUAUGUCCUAAUUUUUUUUACAAUCUCUCGUACUUAAGUGGACCACAAUACCGACGAUUGACCAUAUC